This 492-nucleotide ribosomal RNA is filed under the name uncultured bacterium. Its description in RNAcentral is "partial 16S ribosomal RNA". It matches the Rfam family "Bacterial small subunit ribosomal RNA", at positions 29 to 507 of the family's 1533-position model. The record is from RNAcentral.
AGUGAACGCUGGCGGUAGGCCUAACACAUGCAAGUCGAACGGCAGCACAGUAAGAGCUUGCUCUUACGGGUGGCGAGUGGCGGACGGGUGAGGAAUACAUCGGAAUCUACUUUUUCGUGGGGGAUAACGUAGGGAAACUUACGCUAAUACCGCAUACGACCCACGGGUGAAAGCAGGGGAUCUUCGUACCUUGCGCGAUUGAAUGAGCCGAUGUCGGAUUAGCUAGUUGGCGGGGUAAAGGCCCACCAAGGCGACGAUCCGUAGCUGGUCUGAGAGGAUGAUCAGCCACACUGGAACUGAGACAAGGUCCAGACUCCUACGGGAGGCAGCAGUGGGGAAUAUUGGACAAUGGGCGCAAGCCUGAUCCAGCCAUACCGCGUGGGUGAAGAAGGCCUUCGGGUUGUAAAGCCCUUUUGUUGGGAAAGAAAAGCAGCAGGUUAAUACCCCGCUGUUCUGACGGUACCCAAAGAAUAAGCACCGGCUAACUUCGUG